GACGAACGCUGGCGGCGUGCUUAACACAUGCAAGUCGAACGGAAAGGCCCUGCUUUUGUGGGGUGCUCGAGUGACGAACGGGUGAGUAACACGUGAGUAACCUGCCCUUGACUUUGGGAUAACUUCAGGAAACUGGGGCUAAUACCGGAUAGGAGCUCCUGCUGCAUGGUGGGGGUUGGAAAGUUUCGGCGGUUGGGGAUGGACUCGCGGCUUAUCAGCUAGUUAGUGGGGUAGUGGCUUACCAAGGCUUUGACGGGUAGCCGGCCUGAGAGGUUGACCGGGCACAUUGGGGCGUAGGUACGGCCGGGGCCGCAGCGGGUGGCAGCACAGGAGUGUGGUGCAGAUUAUGCGGAAGCCUGUUUGAGUAAUGCCGCGUGCGCAAAGUCGGCCUUCGGGUUAUAAACCUCUUUCGCCUGUCACGCACCGUGAGUGACGGUAACGGCUAAGGAAGCACCGUCUAACUAUGUG
Molecule: ribosomal RNA, 468 nt
Filed under: uncultured bacterium
Lineage: Bacteria
Description: partial 16S ribosomal RNA
Rfam family: Bacterial small subunit ribosomal RNA
Source: RNAcentral